GGGGAUGAACGGCUUCGACGGGGCAGGCUGUUCCUUGACUGCAAGCCGUAGAGCGUCGGCUACGUUAAAAAGGCGCAACACAUAUAAAUGCCAAAUCAACAGGCAAGGUCUUCAACUUCGGUUUCGCCCAGGCCGCUCCGGCUGCCUUGGCUGCUUAAGUUAAGCAGACCAAUCCUGACCCUCUAAUGUAGGGUCACGGCCCGCUUCAGUGGCGCCUGCAGGCUGGAGCGGAUGCCGACAUAUACUGAGAGGCUGCGAUGACUGGACGCCGCUAAGGUCAUCUAAGGAUCAGCGGCUAGCCGACACCGUGAACCCGGUCGCCAGGGGUCAGUUCGGCAAAGCGUAAAAUGGUGACUAAGCUUGUAGAUGUCUCUGAACGAGUGUUUCGGACGCGGGUUCGAUUCCCGCCAUCUCCA
This 416-nucleotide transfer-messenger RNA is filed under the name Caldilineaceae bacterium. It matches the Rfam family "transfer-messenger RNA". From Rfam's summary of the family: Bacterial tmRNA, also known as 10Sa RNA or SsrA, is named for its dual tRNA and mRNA-like properties. Its role is to liberate the mRNA from a stalled ribosome. To accomplish this part of the tmRNA is used as a reading frame that ends in a translation stop signal. The record is from RNAcentral. Lineage: Bacteria; Bacillati; Chloroflexota; Caldilineae; Caldilineales; Caldilineaceae.